Molecule: ribosomal RNA, 222 nt
Filed under: uncultured bacterium
Lineage: Bacteria
Description: partial 16S ribosomal RNA
Rfam family: Bacterial small subunit ribosomal RNA
Source: RNAcentral
GAUCAUGGCUCAGGAUGAACGCUGGCGGCGUGCUUAACACAUGCAAGUCGAACGAAGCACUUAAGAUUGACUCUUCGGAUGAUUUCUUUUGUGACUUAGUGGCGGACGGGUGAGUAACGCGUGAGUAACCUGCCUCACACAGGGGGAUAACAGUUAGAAAUGACUGCUAAUACCGCAUAACCCGAUAGGAUCGCAUGAUCCAGACGGAAAAGAUUUAUCGGU